CCCGGUUGGCAUGUGAUUUCAUGCUUUUCACUUCUCCCUUUAAAUGGAAAUGCAGAAAAUGAUCUUCGCCCUCCAGUGGGGAUUGCGAUUUUUUUUCCUCUCUCAGCUCUGACACCUGCUACUGUUUCACUUGCUAUUAAAGGUCUAUGUGAUGGGGUGGCGUGCUUCAAGCGGUGCUAAAUGGGUGUGUGGGAGGGGCUGAAACAGUGUCAGGAGAGGUGUUGGAAUGUGAGUCACAGCCACAGGGAUCAGAGACUGUGGUGAGGGAGCCAGAGUGAGGAUUUCUGAGUCAGCACCCGUGUGCCUCUGCCACCACGAGGAACCACCGGCCACUGUGAUAGUCACUCAACCAUGUCUGACUCUUUCCGAGGAGCUCCUCUGUCCAUGGAAUUCUCCAGGCCGAUUCUUCAUCAUCUGAGUCACCAGGGGGAGUUUUGAAAAAUGAUCGUCAACUCCCUAGUCAAGACAGAAAAUAUUUACAUCACCAUCAGGGGGAGAACAAAGGGCCAGCAACCUGCUGACCAACCCUACCCAGCUCCAUGCAUGAGUGACUCCAGCCAGCCACCAGGAGAGGGAUAUUAGGGUGGGGGUGUUCCAGGUGGCCCCUUGCCCUGCCUUCACUGGGAGCCUGCUCCCCCUGGGUUUUCUCUUCCUCUUCAGCCCUGCUCAGGCCGAUCAGGGGCGAGCCACUUUCUAGUCUUGGCUUGUUUGCCUAUCUAUUCACUUGCAAACAAAUCCUGCCUUGUGGUGUUGUUUCUAUAAUGGGAAGGAGGCUCAUCUCUUUCCAAUUCUGCAAUGUGGGUGGACUUUUAAAGGGUCUGUGCGCUUUCGGUUCACAUAUUAAUCUGCUUCCUUCUACCUUCCAGAUACCUUCUGCUCCUAAAUGUGGGCCAUUUUACUUGAGGGGUGGGGAGGGGUGGGGAGGUAUUAUUUCCAUAGUUACAUUUUCAAACGGGGCAAGGUUAACAUAACUUGUCCUGUCUCGAGACAAUACCUUGAAGGGAUUUGGACAAGAUAAAAAUCGAAAUCCUUUAUCCUUGAGAAUACUUUGCUUGGCAGAGCUGAUAAGCGGCAUAUGUAUUUGUGUGUGUGCUUGUGAGCACGCAUGCCUGCAUGCUAAAGCUGUUGUGAUCCCCAGCUACCCUCCUUGAGGCAGCUGCACUUCCUCACUGGAGAGAUGAGCAUCCUCAGUGAUGCUCAAGGCUUCCUUUUUAUCUGGGGACACCACACAGGUUUUCAGAAGACCAAGUCGAGCAGUAGGAGAUCUUUCCUCGAUUCUUGAGGCCUGUCAGGGGCACAUUUUUCUACAUCUUCCUGCCUCCCCCAAAGAGCUCCAGGCUAAGACCCUGCUGUUAAUGAUCCUACAUUGCUAGGCUUUUGCUGACAUUUAAUCUCCCUAAUCUGUAGUGCUACGGUGUUAUCUCAUGUUUAACAAAUGGGAAAGCCCCUUUUGGCCUCCAUGGGCAGACCAGAGUUCAGCUGUUGGGAGCCAGGAGUGGAAUCCCGGAACGGGCCCAGGAGUCCGGCAGCCAUCUACCCCUACCCCUUAUCUGCUACCCUAACCAUUGUCCCUCUUGUUUCAGUCCCUGCUGAGUUUAAAAUGUUAGAGUAGCAGCCCAGAAA
Bos taurus (domestic cattle) is the source of this 1623-nucleotide long non-coding RNA. Lineage: Eukaryota; Metazoa; Chordata; Mammalia; Artiodactyla; Bovidae. The record is from Ensembl.